GGAUUAGAUACCCUGGUAGUCCACGCUGUAAACGAUGAUUACUAGUUGUUGGCGAUACACAGUCAGUGACCAAGCGAAAGUGAUAAGUAAUCCACCUGGGGAGUACGUUCGCAAGAAUGAAACUCAAAGGAAUUGACGGGGGCCCGCACAAGCGGUGGAGCAUGUGGUUUAAUUCGAUGAUACGCGAGGAACCUUACCAGGGCUUAAAUGUAUGUUGACCGAUCUGGAAACAGAUUUUCUUUUUAAGCAAUAUACAAGGUGCUGCAUGGUUGUCGUCAGCUCGUGCUG
This 288-nucleotide ribosomal RNA is filed under the name uncultured bacterium. RNAcentral describes it as "partial 16S ribosomal RNA". It matches the Rfam family "Bacterial small subunit ribosomal RNA", at positions 775 to 1067 of the family's 1533-position model. The record is from RNAcentral.